AUGCUGGCUCUGGCAGCACAUAUACUAAAAUUGGAACAAUACAGAGAUUAGCACAGCCCCUGCCCCCUGAGCUGGUAUGGCAUGGAAAUGAAGCAUUCCAUAUUUAC
This is a small nuclear RNA of Pongo abelii (Sumatran orangutan), 107 nucleotides long. NCBI's taxonomy places the organism in Eukaryota, Metazoa, Chordata, Mammalia, Primates, Hominidae. The record is from Ensembl.